GAUGAAGAACGUAGCGAAAUGCGAUAAGUAAUGUGAAUUGCAGAAUUCAGUGAAUCAUCGAAUCUUUGAACGCACAUUGCGCCCGCCAGUAUUCUGGCGGGCAUGCCUGUUCGAGCGUCAUUACAACCCUCAGGCCCCCGGGCCUGGCGUUGGGGAUCGGCGGAGCCCCCCGUGGGCACACGCCGCCCCCCAAAUGCAGUGGCGGUCCCGCCGCAGCUUCCAUCGCGUAGUAGCUAACACCUCGCGACUGGAGAGCGGCGCGGCCACGCCGUAAAACACCCAACUCUUCUGAAGUUGACCUCGAAUCAGGUAGGAAUACCCGCUGAACUUAAGCAUAUCAUAAGCGGAGGA
Molecule: unclassified non-coding RNA, 351 nt
Filed under: soil metagenome
Description: partial contains 5.8S ribosomal RNA, internal transcribed spacer 2, and large subunit ribosomal RNA
Rfam family: 5.8S ribosomal RNA (bases 1-120)
Source: RNAcentral